GCUUGAGUGAUGACUUAAUCUUUGUCGGAUACCCCUUCACUCUCUCUGAGUGAGAAAACCUAACUGACAAGC
This is a small nucleolar RNA of Rana temporaria (common frog), 72 nucleotides long. RefSeq annotates it as small nucleolar RNA SNORD101. The transcript has a single exon. NCBI's taxonomy places the organism in Eukaryota, Metazoa, Chordata, Amphibia, Anura, Ranidae. The record is from RefSeq and is a predicted model, not a curated record.